Molecule: long non-coding RNA, 331 nt
Filed under: Cavia porcellus (domestic guinea pig)
Lineage: Eukaryota; Metazoa; Chordata; Mammalia; Rodentia; Caviidae
Description: lncRNA (ENSCPOG00000033949.1)
Source: RNAcentral
CAGUCCUGCCCAUCCGGGAAUGUCAUCUGCCGGAGCCCCCCUAUUUAUGGAACAGCUCCGUUCCUGUCACUCACCACAGGUUGAUGCAGCACCCUGCCAACUCAGCUCUCCCUUUGGCUCGCUAGCCCCGGAAUUCAAUGUCGAAGCAGCAGGACCUCAGACAGCUUGGCAAGUCGCAGUGGGACCUUGGCAGAACCUCGGAUGGUUGCACUGGAGAUGGAACCUAGAGCCUCGUGUACACCAUGCGAGUGCUCUGCCCAUGAGCUACACCCAUGACCAUGGAAUCUGUCUUAAUCCCUACUUCAUUAUUGUCCAUGAACAAAAGAAUUAA